RNAcentral lists this small RNA (118 nucleotides) under Marmota monax (woodchuck). Lineage: Eukaryota; Metazoa; Chordata; Mammalia; Rodentia; Sciuridae. The record is from RNAcentral.
GCCAGGUGUGGUGGCACACACCUAUAAUCCCAGCAGCUGGGGAGGCUGAGGCAGGAGGAUGACAAGUUCAAAGCCAGUAUCAUCAAUUUAGCAAGGCCCUAGUGAGACCCUGUCUCAA